AUGUCAAAUCAUCAUGCCCCUUAUGUCUUGGGCAACACACGUGCUACAAUGGCUCAAACAAAGUGACGCAAUACCGCGAGGUGGAGCAAACCACAAAAAUGAGUCUCAGUUCGGAUUGCAGGCUGCAACCCGCCUGCAUGAAGUUGGAAUCGCUAGUAAUCGCAAAUCAGCAUGUUGCGGUGAAUACGUUCCCGGGUCUU
This 200-nucleotide ribosomal RNA is filed under the name uncultured prokaryote. RNAcentral describes it as "partial 16S ribosomal RNA". It matches the Rfam family "Bacterial small subunit ribosomal RNA", at positions 1182 to 1382 of the family's 1533-position model. The record is from RNAcentral.